Molecule: ribosomal RNA, 253 nt
Filed under: uncultured bacterium
Lineage: Bacteria
Description: partial 16S ribosomal RNA
Rfam family: Bacterial small subunit ribosomal RNA
Source: RNAcentral
UACGUAGGGGGCUAGCGUUGUCCGGAUUUAUUGGGCGUAAAGAGCGUGUAGGCGGCUUGGUAGGUCCGCUGUGAAAACUCGAGGCUCAACCUCGAGAUGUCGGCGGAAACCACUUGGCUAGAGUCCGGAAGAGGAGAGUGGAAUUCCUGGUGUAGCGGUGAAAUGCGCAGAUAUCGUGAGGAAGACCAGUGGCGAAGGCGGGUCUCUGGACAGUUCCUGACGCUGAGGCGCGAAGGCCAGGGGAGCAAACGGG